AGUUGAAUGAAUUAGACAUCGUAAAAUAAAACGACAGAUAACAAAAACAGGAUAAAGUAGUCCUUAAAUGCAAUGUAUGUUAUUUAAAGCAAGAAUUUUACAUUAAUUCUAUCUGAACGUAUUUAUUAGCAGACUACUUACUCCACCACCUGCGUGGCGUCAUCAACUAGAUUGCUGAACAACUUGGUUCAAACAAUUGAUCUCCGACAGAGUUCUACGGUUUCAGGAAACAGCUGUAACUACAUCGUUAAUUUCCCCAACGAUGUAUCGUACUAUGAUAGUUAACCACAAAGACAGCAACUGCAGCAGCAACAUCCUCAGCAGCCCCCUCAACAUCCGGUGCGCAACGUUUUGCUAUGGUCCGGGUUGACGACACGUUUCCUGGAAACGGUUCGCAACGAAUUCUCUGAUGUCCACUGAUGGAUCUCAAGAGGAGAGAGUGUGUCAUGGGCAGGUUAUUAAAUCCCAUUUUGAAAUAAUAUUUAUGAGAGUAGGCGUUUAUAUGGCCUGCGGCAUCAGAGGGAGUUAGAGGCCAAUCGGGUCAGAGGAGAGGACAUAUUCUGUGAUGGAACACAUCUGGAGAGAAGAUUCUCCAGCCCGUGCAUUUCUGCCACAUCAUUGUGUGAUACAAAUAUAGCUAACAGCUCGUAUAACUUCAACCUUACGUUUCCAGACUUCUGUGUUUCUGUGUACCUGAUUCAUUUCCUCUCAUUUCACGCUUUGUUGUAUAUUUUGUGUGUUUAUGUUAAGAGUUACUGCAGAUCUAAUCUUCCAAAAGUAUCUGCACAAUGUCACAGAUGCUGUUAAAAUAUGUAUUUAAUGUCCAUGACGUCUCAAAUUAAACACAUCUCA
Triplophysa rosa is the source of this 852-nucleotide long non-coding RNA. RefSeq lists it as uncharacterized. NCBI's taxonomy places the organism in Eukaryota, Metazoa, Chordata, Actinopteri, Cypriniformes, Nemacheilidae. The transcript has 3 exons. The record is from RefSeq and is a predicted model, not a curated record.